AGGAUAACGCUGGCGGCGUGCCUAAUACAUGCAAGUCGAGCGAAUGGAUUAAGAGCUUGCUCUUAUGAAGUUAGCGGCGGACGGGUGAGUAACACGUGGGUAACCUGCCCAUAAGACUGGGAUAACUCCGGGAAACCGGGGCUAAUACCGGAUAACAUUUUGAACCGCAUGGUUCGAAAUUGAAAGGCGGCUUCGGCUGUCACUUAUGGAUGGACCCGCGUCGCAUUAGCUAGUUGGUGAGGUAACGGCUCACCAAGGCAACGAUGCGUAGCCGACCUGAGAGGGUGAUCGGCCACACUGGGACUGAGACACGGCCCAGACUCCUACGGGAGGCAGCAGUAGGGAAUCUUCCGCAAUGGACGAAAGUCUGACGGAGCAACGCCGCGUGAGUGAUGAAGGCUUUCGGGUCGUAAAACUCUGUUGUUAGGGAAGAACAAGUGCUAGUUGAAUAAGCUGGCACCUUGACGGUACCUAACCAGAAAGCCACGGCUAACUACGUGCCAGCAGCCGCGGUAAUACGUAGGUGGCAAGCGUUAUCCGGAAUUAUUGGGCGUAAAGCGCGCGCAGGUGGUUUCUUAAGUCUGAUGUGAAAGCCCACGGCUCAACCGUGGAGGGUCAUUGGAAACUGGGAGACUUGAGUGCAGAAGAGGAAAGUGGAAUUCCAUGUGUAGCGGUGAAAUGCGUAGAGAUAUGGAGGAACACCAGUGGCGAAGGCGACUUUCUGGUCUGUAACUGACACUGAGGCGCGAAAAGAGCGCC
This 759-nucleotide ribosomal RNA is filed under the name Bacillus cereus. Its description in RNAcentral is "bacterial SSU rRNA". It matches the Rfam family "Bacterial small subunit ribosomal RNA", at positions 26 to 766 of the family's 1533-position model. Lineage: Bacteria; Bacillati; Bacillota; Bacilli; Caryophanales; Bacillaceae. The record is from RNAcentral.